AGAGUUUGAUCCUGGCUCAGACGAACGCUGGCGGCGUGCUUAACACAUGCAAGUCGAACGGUGAAGCCCUUCGGGGUGGAUCAGUGGCGAACGGGUGAGUAACACGUGGGCAAUCUGCCCUGCACUCUGGGACAAGCCCUGGAAACGGGGUCUAAUACCGGAUAACACCGGCCUCCGCAUGGGGGUGGGUUAAAAGCUCCGGCGGUGCAGGAUGAGCCCGCGGCCUAUCAGCUUGUUGGUGGGGUAAUGGCCUACCAAGGCGACGACGGGUAGCCGGCCUGAGAGGGCGACCGGCCACACUGGGACUGAGACACGGCCCAGACUCCUACGGGAGGCAGCAGUGGGGAAUAUUGCACAAUGGGCGAAAGCCUGAUGCAGCGACGCCGCGUGAGGGAUGACGGCCUUCGGGUUGUAAACCUCUUUCAGCAGGGAAGAAGCGCAAGUGACGGUACCUGCAGAAGAAGCACCGGCUAACUACGUGCCAGCAGCCGCGGUAAUACGUAGGGUGCGAGCGUUGUCCGGAAUUAUUGGGCGUAAAGAGCUCGUAGGCGGUCUGUCGCGUCGGAUGUGAAAGCCCGGGGCUUAACCCCGGGUCUGCAUUCGAUACGGGCAGACUAGAGUGUGGUAGGGGAGAUCGGAAUUCCUGGUGUAGCGGUGAAAUGCGCAGAUAUCAGGAGGAACACCGGUGGCGAAGGCGGAUCUCUGGGCCAUUACUGACGCUGAGGAGCGAAAGCGUGGGGAGCGAACAGGAUUAGAUACCCUGGUAGUCCACGCCGUAAACGUUGGGAACUAGGUGUUGGCGACAUUCCACGUCGUCGGUGCCGCAGCUAACGCAUUAAGUUCCCCGCCUGGGGAGUACGGCCGCAAGGCUAAAACUCAAAGGAAUUGACGG
This 892-nucleotide ribosomal RNA is filed under the name Streptomyces sp. RNAcentral's name for it is "bacterial SSU rRNA". It matches the Rfam family "Bacterial small subunit ribosomal RNA", at positions 8 to 916 of the family's 1533-position model. Lineage: Bacteria; Bacillati; Actinomycetota; Actinomycetes; Kitasatosporales; Streptomycetaceae. The record is from RNAcentral.